This 86-nucleotide transfer RNA is filed under the name Thermoproteota archaeon. RNAcentral's name for it is "tRNA-Ser". It matches the Rfam family "tRNA". Rfam says of the family: Transfer RNA (tRNA) molecules are approximately 80 nucleotides in length. Their secondary structure includes four short double-helical elements and three loops (D, anti-codon, and T loops). Lineage: Archaea; Thermoproteati; Thermoproteota. The record is from RNAcentral.
GCCGGGGUCGCCUAGCCUGGGAGGGCGCAAGCCUGGAAAGCUUGUGACCUAUAUGGGUCUCGAGGGUUCAAAUCCCUCUCCCGGCG